CAAGUUUCAGACAGAACUCGGAAUACUUCUCCCACUUUGCUGUUGAGGAAAAAAUUAUCUUUGUUGUUUAGUUACAGCUCCUGGCAACCACCAUUCUACUUGAUGCCUCUAUGAAUCUGACUACUCUAGGUACCUCAGAUGAGUGGAAUUAUGCAGUAUUUGUCCUUUUGUGUGUACAACUAAUUUGACAGGCAGUAUGAUAAGGAACAAUCUGAAUGACACGUAAACAGGAGGGGGUAAAUUCCAAGCACAGCCUGAAUGAGAAGUACAACUCAUUUCCUGUAACCUAGAUGCCUUUUUAACACAUCUAUGCAGUCUCCAUGUGAAACCAGGUGCUGUUCCCAAAGGAGAAAACACUGCCCUCCAGUGGUCUUCAAUGAAGAAAUGGAAAUAGUUUCAGGUGGAAACCAGGCUUCUUGGAAGACUUCAAACUAUGCCAAAUGGUCUGAUUUCACCAUAGAGAAUGUUAUACUAUUAAUUGCCAAUUUGCAUAUGUGUGCAGCUGCUGUUUUGGCUCUGAACUCAAUCCGAUAAGCUUGCUGGAGGUAUCGCAGAGCACUUGGCAGCUUUCCUAUUUGAAAAGAAAGCCUCUCCCCUCUACAGAACAGCUGAUCGUCUAUCAGCGAUAGACCCUGAUGGCGUGAAUUACAAUUACACUACUUUUCACACUAAAUCUGGGUGAUAGCUACUUGGAAAGAAGUUUCAUCAUUUUUUACCACAAACUGGAAAAAGAAUUACAUGGUCAUGCUGUGCUUUUAAAGGCAGUUUGGUUCACUUUUGUCUAUUUAACACCUAAUUCCAAGAAGUCCAUAGGCAUCUAGAGAUCUGAAUGGCGCGUAAUGAAUUCACUGUUUAGAUUGAAGAUUUUAAAAAUCUACCUCAAAUUACAUUUAUUAACAGGGCGACCAGGAAGUGUUAAAGUUGUUAGACACUUCAUUUAUUAAAUAAUUUGUGGGUAUUUUCAGUUGUCAUAUCUAGAGUCAUGGGGUUUGCUUAUUUUUUU
Molecule: long non-coding RNA, 1003 nt
Filed under: Homo sapiens (human)
Lineage: Eukaryota; Metazoa; Chordata; Mammalia; Primates; Hominidae
Description: HSALNT0306831
Source: RNAcentral